CGGGGCGUGGCGCAGUUUGGCUAGCGCGCUUGCAUGGGGCGCAAGAGGUCGCUGGUUCAAGUCCAGUCGCCCCGACCA
RNAcentral lists this transfer RNA (78 nucleotides) under Thermotoga sp. RNAcentral describes it as "tRNA-Pro". It matches the Rfam family "tRNA". Rfam says of the family: Transfer RNA (tRNA) molecules are approximately 80 nucleotides in length. Their secondary structure includes four short double-helical elements and three loops (D, anti-codon, and T loops). Lineage: Bacteria; Thermotogati; Thermotogota; Thermotogae; Thermotogales; Thermotogaceae. The record is from RNAcentral. RNAcentral also lists the same sequence under 8 other names.